UUUUUCAGAUUGCACUGGGGAGUGCCCAGAAGCUGGUGCUGGGUCUGUGCCUGAAUUGGAGGAAGACAGUACCGGGUGUGGCCAGCCUCUCCUGACAAUGAAUUUGCACGCUGUCAGGAACGUUCCCAGAGAGCCCAGGUGAGCGGUCAGGUCAGAGUGGAGGAAACUCAGCCGCAGCCACGGCUCGCCCCAUCCAGGGGCUGGCAAUUCUUGAAGGCCUUCUCUGGCCCUCCUCCUCUAAGAGGCAAGAUCUUCCUCUCAAC
Bos taurus (domestic cattle) is the source of this 263-nucleotide long non-coding RNA. The record is from Ensembl. NCBI's taxonomy places the organism in Eukaryota, Metazoa, Chordata, Mammalia, Artiodactyla, Bovidae.